RNAcentral lists this ribosomal RNA (345 nucleotides) under uncultured Hyphomicrobiales bacterium. RNAcentral's name for it is "bacterial SSU rRNA". It matches the Rfam family "Bacterial small subunit ribosomal RNA", at positions 202 to 567 of the family's 1533-position model. Lineage: Bacteria; Pseudomonadati; Pseudomonadota; Alphaproteobacteria; Hyphomicrobiales. The record is from RNAcentral.
GAAAGAUUUAUCGGCUUAAGAUGAGCCCGCGUUGGAUUAGCUAGUUGGUGGGGUAAAGGCCUACCAAGGCGACGAUCCAUAGCUGGUCUGAGAGGAUGAUCAGCCACACUGGGACUGAGACACGGCCCAGACUCCUACGGGAGGCAGCAGUGGGGAAUAUUGGACAAUGGGCGGAAGCCUGAUCCAGCCAUGCCGCGUGAGUGAAGAAGGCCUUAGGGUUGUAAAGCUCUUUCNCCGGUGAAGAUAAUGACGGUAACCGGAGAAGAAGCCCCGGCUAACUUCGUGCCAGCAGCCGCGGUAAUACGAAGGGGGCUAGCGUUGUUCGGAUUUACUGGGCGUAAAGCG